Molecule: long non-coding RNA, 637 nt
Organism: Zea mays
Lineage: Eukaryota; Viridiplantae; Streptophyta; Magnoliopsida; Poales; Poaceae
Exons: 2
Source: RefSeq, a predicted model, not a curated record
CCCACAGUUUUCUCUUCGUAUUAAAUGGGUUUUCACGUAAAUCUGUGUGUCGUGCUCUGUAGUUUGUUGGUAUUUCUUUUUAUCUGUCGAUUCUGCUAACAUGCAGCAGUACUACCGGCUUGUUCGCCGCCGGCGACCGGAGGAGGAAUGCUCGCCGCCGCCCGGCGUGCUCGGUCUGGGCACUCAGGCUGGGGCGGAGCAGCAGCGGGAGUAAGAAGGCAGGCCUCGGCAUCGUCCGCAACCUCGACGGAUAGUACGAGGACACCUUUAACGACGUCCAGCGGGUCGAUGUUCUGCAAGGUAAUGCCUUGGCAUGGGACGUUCUCACUGCAGUUCAUCUUGAUGGCGUCCUUGGUACUGGUCGUCCCUCUAAUGUUCUUGAAGACGACACCGCUGACCUGCACUGCUGACUCUUGUUCUCCGCAUGGCUUAGCCUUGUCGCAGUAGUUCUGGUCGAUGAUUAUCGGGUUCUUGACGUCGUACAUAACCAUAUUUUGGAACGUGAUGUCCUUGGCGUAUCCGCUGCCUCCCUGGUACGUCUUGAUGCGUGCUCCGUUGGUUGUGCCGUGUAGUUGCACUGAAUCUAUGGUGAUGCCGGAGACUUCUGCUCUUGAGUUGUCGUCUCCUAGGCUUCCGA